GGAAUAGUUACUGUUUGGAGACAGAGGGAUUAGAGAGAUGUCUGCAACACAUUGAGGCCCAUGGAUGCAGUAUUCAAACCCUGGCCACUGACAGGCAUCCAAGUGUGAGGGUGACCUUGAGGGACUCACCUGCUGAUAUCUGGCAUGAGCAUGACCUGUGACCUGGUGGCCGUUGGGAAGCCAGAGGACAAUCCCAGCAGACUCUCCUGAGUGCCCAAAGAGAGAGAGUGCCCAUCACUUUGGGGCGGUGGGCUGGUGUUCCGAAAAUGGAUAAGGAGCAGGCCAUUCAACAGCGAAUUCAAAGAUACACACAUCUAUAAAUACAUAAAUGUACAGUGCCUUGCAAAAGUAUUCCUCCCCCAUGGCGUUUUUCCUAUUUUGUUGCAUUACAACCUGUAAUUUAAAUAGAUUUUUAUUUGGAUUUCAUGUAAUGGACAUACACAAAAUAGUCCAUAUUGGUGAAUUUCAAUGAAAAAAAUUACUUGUUUAAAAAAAUUCCUAAAAAUAAAAAACUGAAAAGUGGUGCGUGCAUAUGUAUUCACCCCUUUGCUAUGAAGCCCCUAAAUAAGAUCUGGUGCAACCAAUUACCU
Long non-coding RNA from Oncorhynchus tshawytscha (Chinook salmon), 590 nucleotides. Lineage: Eukaryota; Metazoa; Chordata; Actinopteri; Salmoniformes; Salmonidae. The record is from Ensembl.